ACCAGGUGUGGUGGUGCAUGCCUGUAAUCCCAGCAGCUCUGGAGGCUGAGGCAGGAAGAUCAUAAGUUUGAAGCCUGCCUCAGCAAAAGGAAGGCACUAAGCAACUCAGUUGAGACCCUGUCUCUA
RNAcentral lists this small RNA (126 nucleotides) under Marmota monax (woodchuck). The record is from RNAcentral. Lineage: Eukaryota; Metazoa; Chordata; Mammalia; Rodentia; Sciuridae.